Rattus norvegicus (Norway rat) is the source of this 105-nucleotide small nucleolar RNA. Ensembl annotates it as small nucleolar RNA U13. NCBI's taxonomy places the organism in Eukaryota, Metazoa, Chordata, Mammalia, Rodentia, Muridae. The record is from Ensembl.
AUCUUUUUUUAGUUCAUAAGCAAGAUAAUUAAUUAUUCAUAUCACUGUGUGAUACAUACCACCCUCAAACCUUGUUAUGAAGUUGGGUACAUUACCUGUUUGACA